Molecule: long non-coding RNA, 2927 nt
Filed under: Olea europaea subsp. europaea
Lineage: Eukaryota; Viridiplantae; Streptophyta; Magnoliopsida; Lamiales; Oleaceae
Source: RNAcentral
AUUCUAUCUAUGUCCUUCAUUUAACAACGUCGAAGCCAUCGAACAAGCGGCGGUCGGUCGACUGUUCCCUUGUACUUAGGGCCCUCCAUUUCUAAACUCUUUGCCGCUGAGGCCGCUUCGCGAAAGAGGUAUUCGCACUUGGCCUAAAUCUGAUGUCAUUUUCUGUAGAUGACAUGCUCGCCUUGUGGACCAUGGUCCUACUAAGGCAAUUUUUGAUAGUGUUAGGAUUUCUGAUUUGUUAGAAAUCUCUAUUCAACCCCCUAUUUUUGACCCAGUACUUUUUCCAACCGCUUUAAGUUUUUGGUCUUCCGAUUAUAAUACUUUUGUUUUUCCUCUUGGUCCUAUGUCCAUUACCUUAAGGGAUGUUGAGGCCCUAAUAAAUUUGCCACCUUUGGGCGAUACCAUUUUUCCUGGUAUUUUGAUUUCUGGUGUCGCCCCAAAAUUUGAUAAAAAACUCACCGAGUCUUAUUCAACCCUACAAACCUGUCAUAACCACUCGAGCGCUGAGCCUUCCCAUACUGAGCGUGUGGCUUUUCUUCAGGUUUGGCUUUGUAAAUACAUUUUGUGUGUGCCAAGCCUGAAGCCCUCCAUGAGCUAUUUACCCAUAGCGCACGAGUUGGCGCGUGGUAGGCCUCUAAAUUUGUGUUCUUUCUUUUUAGCUGCCCUCUAUAGAGGCAUUGCUUCUCUUCAAUCCCAAUUGAAGAAUGGUGCAUCUCCCACUGGUAGUGGGCCUCUUUGGUUCACUCAGAUGUGGUUGAGAGCCUAUUUUCCAUCGCUUGGUGCUCCAUCCUUUUCCACUCCUUCUGCUAGUUGCUAUGGGCUAGUCAUUAAUCCCCCGACUCCUGUAAAUAUGUCCAGAAGGGACAUUUUUUCAUUCUUUUAUGCUUUGGAUUCAAUCCCUUCCUUCUUUCCUUUUCCUCCCUUUUUGACUCCGGAUUAUGUGCAACCUCCAUCCACUAUGGAUAGUGCGAGCACUUCUCUGUUCAUUUGGAUUCAGUUUUUGACUGGGAGGGAGUUGUUUCAUGAUAUUUUAACUGGAACCAAUGCUAAAGCUGGGGUUGAAAUAUACGCUCCCCAAUUUUUUGCUCGCCAACUUGGCUUUGGCCAAACUUGGCCCGUUCUUCCUUGCUAUUCAAGAAAUUUAAUAGACCGCUUCCACACCAUUAAUAAGGCAGAGGCAGAAGCUAUAAAUGCUCGCAAUAUUCUUUUGACGAGCAACUUUUCAUUAGCCCCUUUUAAUCCUAGCCGUGCCAUCCAUUCCCUUUUUGAAUGACUCUGACCGUCAGUGAAGCGCAGAUUGUUUGCGACUGAUGCCAAUCAUACUUUCCAUUCACUGGACCAGCCAAACAUUUCUUCCACCUCUCCUGUUUUGGUCACUCCUAUGUCCAUUAGGAGUCCCUCUUCCCCUGCUCGUGCUAAACAGUCUGCUCGUCCAUCGACUUUUCUUCCUGCCAAGCCCACUGCAGCUAAAAGUGCCCCCAACCGCAAACGGACACAGCAUCUCCUAUUUUGGAGGAUGAUGCUGAUGAUGAUGAUGACACCCCUCUCGUCUUCAGGAGGAAGGUAAUUAAAUUGGUUUACUCACAAGCAUACAUUUCCAUACUUGAAACUUUUCUAUGUGCUGAUAGUUUAUUUAGAUUUCUCAGAAAAGUUCAGCCUCUCCUUUGAAGGCUUUGGUGUUGGCAGCUCCUGCUCCAUCAUCCUCUGCUGAGACUGCUUCGUCCAAACUAGCUGAUGAAGGGACUACGCUUAAAGAGAAAUCUUCAAUCCCAGAAUCUUCAUCACAACCAAUGGAUGAGCCACCUUCUUACCAGGGCGUCAACCCCCCAAACGUCGAAGCGGAAGGUAAUUCAUUUUUUGAUGCAGGUUGCUUGUGCUAUUGGUUUUUGAUUUGUUGCUUUUUGAGUUCUGCAGAUGCUCCCAUGAGUCUGCCCAUUGCGGUAAGUUUUUCUUGCUUAGACAAGGGGAAGUCCUCACAAAUGGUGGAGCCACAGGUGGUAGAUUUGGCUGGGGACAUGCCACCUUCCAAGAUUGCUGAUGAGGUAAUCUUUGCUUCACCUUUACUUUCACUUUGUUUAGUGUAGUGAAAACCUUCAAUGUUGGUAACUUUCUUUGCAGGAUGCUGAUAAAAUUGUGCGUUCCAUCCAAGACUUGUUCACUUCCUGGGUGCAAGUCAAGACAUCUCGCCUUGUUUCAGCCAGUCGUCCUUCUGCUUCUUCAGAAGAAGAUAUGAAAUUCCUCAACCAGUCGAUAUUUGAGUAUGUGUCCUUCAUGGAUAUGGACAUCGGUAAGGUUAGUGCUGCCAAGCAUAAGGAUAAGCUUGAGCAUUUAAAUGCGAAAUUGGAGCAAGCACUGACACUUCCGUCGCUCAAUCUUUCUGCUGAUUUUAAAGCAACGUUGAAAGUUGUCCAUUCCAAGAUCAUCUCCUUGCUGGCCAAAAAUGUUGAACUGAAGGCCAAAAGUACUCAAUAUCUUCGCGUUGUAUCUGAAAAAGAGUCCUUACUUCUGGAGAUCAACAAAGUUGAGGACGAAUUGAAAGAAAUCUCUUCCAAAUUCACGAUUGAAGACUCUUUGAUAACUAGUUUGGCUGUACAGAUGAAGGAGCUUCAAGCCAAGAUGGACGACUGCAAGGCGAGAAUGGCUGCUAAAAAUCGUAAUGCCUCCCAAAGAAUUGAGCGAAUUAAAUCUUUGGUCGAGCAGUACAAGAAGAUAGAAGUUGAUGAUGAUGUUGUGGCUGAAUUGAAUAUCACUUCUUCUCGGCAGAGCGAGGACUGGGGGAGACUUAGGGAAAGAAUUCGUUUGAUAUGGGGCAAAUUGUAAUUAAGACAUAUAAUGUCUUAACUUUUUCUUUUUGUAAUUUCGUAUUGACUUUCCCUUUGUAACCUUGUACUGAUAUCCAUUGCUAAUUUUAAUCAUGACAGCAGCCA